Ananas comosus (pineapple) is the source of this 2282-nucleotide long non-coding RNA. RefSeq lists it as uncharacterized. The record is from RefSeq and is a predicted model, not a curated record. The transcript has 2 exons. NCBI's taxonomy places the organism in Eukaryota, Viridiplantae, Streptophyta, Magnoliopsida, Poales, Bromeliaceae.
UCCAGAUGGUAGAAGGUAUUCUUGAUGAUAAUAAAUUGGCAGCUAGAGAAAUUUCUUGCAGUUCACUUCCAUUUAUGAUUAACUCGGAUACAAUUGCUGUAAGUUCUCAAGCUGUGCAAUCGAAGAUGGGAUUUUUCCGCUAAAUUCAUUACCACUUAGGUCCAAGUUCAUCAGGUUGCUCAGAUUUCCUAUUCCAGCAGGAAUAUUUCCGUCAAGUUGGCAAUUAGAGAUGCGUAAUUCCCAGAGACCCAUGGAGAGAUUCCCGACAACAGUUGGAAGGGAACCUUUGAAUUGAUUAUUCCCAAGUAAUAGAACCUCCAAGUUCUUGCAAUUUGUCAAAGAAGAGAGGAACUCCAAUCCACCGCUGAGUCGGUUCGACGCAAGAUUCAAAAUUUGAAGCAGCUGCAAAUUUCCAAUUGUUGUGGGCACAGGUCCACUGAAACUAUUCUGUGAUAGCUCUACAACCGUCAACAUCGAGCAAUUAGAGAGGGAAGUCGGUAUCUGUCCGGUAAAGUGAUUGACACCAAGAUGAAGUCUCUGGAGACUCGGGAGCAGAAAACCGACAUUCUCUGGAAGAUACCCCGAGAACUUAUUAUAAGUGAUAUCGAGAAUCUGCAACGAAGAUAUGUUGAAGAUUGCACUAGGUAUCUCUCCUCUCAAUCCAUAAUUCUGUCCCAAAUACAAGUAUUGCAAUCUAUGCAGGUAACCUAAUUCAUAAGGAAUCACCCCAUGAAGAUUAUUUAUUUCAAGAUCAAGGACCGUGAGUUCCGUGAGGUUACCCAAUGAGGAAGGAACCGGCCCGGUGAGCUUGUUGCUGCCGAGACCUAAGAUCUUAAGCUUUCUCAGGCUUCCGAAUUCAGCCGGUAUGUUCCCGCUGAAUUGGUUUUUGUAUAAAACAACAUCUAUUAAGUGCAUGCAAUGGCUCAAUUGCCUUGGUAUCAAUCCCCUGAACUGAUUAUCAUUUAGAUAGAGGCUUUGAAUUGACGGAAGCCAUAAGCCAUUUAUGCCUUCCGGGAUGUAUCCGGUUAGCUUGUUUGUCGCCACAGAGAGCAUUUGAAGUGAAGACAGGUUGAAGAUUGAGCUCGGUAAUGGGCCCGUAAAGCCAUUUAGGCCCAAAUUUAAGUAUUGAAGAUCAAAUAGAAGGCUGAGUUGGUGUGGAAUUUCACCUUGCAGGCUGUUUUCGGAAAUAUCUAAUAGUGUAAGCUGUGUGAGGUUGGCUAAAGAAGGCGGUAUCGAGCCGGUGAGGUUGUUACCUCUGAGAGAUAAGAAACAGAGCUUUGGGUAGUUCCCAAGAGCAGCAGGUAUGUUUCCGACCAGUCGAUUGUACAGUAACGAUACUACUUGUAGAUUCACGGAGAUUGGUUUUUCAAUCGGAACGCACCCGGAGAACGAGUUGUUUGCGAGGUCAACGUACGCAAGCGAAGAGAGAUUGAAAAUGGUAGGCGGUAUGGGUCCCGAGAGACGGUUGAACAUGAGGUCGAGCGUCCUGAGACGGCGAAGGCGACCGAGGCCAUCGGGGAUAGGGCCCGAGAGUGAGUUGUUGGAGAGGUCGAGGGCGGUGAGGAAUGAGAGGUUGGCAAUGUGGGGGGCGAUGGAGCCUUCGAGGGAGAGACUGGCAAGCGACAGGGCCGUGACUCGAUCCGGCACAUGUCGGCGGCCGCACGCGACACCGACCCAACUGCACAAGGAUGCGUUGGUGCUCCAGCUACGCGAGAGGACGUUGAAGGGAUCGGAAGUGAUGCGCGCUUUGAUGGCGAGCAAUGCGGAUAGAUCGGUAGAAUAGCUGGUCGAUGAUUUCGCAGGCCGAGGCAGUAGGACUAGAACUAGCAAUAGAAUGUAAAAGAGAGGUGGAAGCUUGGCCAUUUUUUUUCGGCUGGUGAGAGUUGCAUGGGAGCUUUCGCUGUGAAUGUAUUAAGAUGCUUCUUGGUCAACGUUUUCUACGUAAGAGUGGACCCUAAAAGAAAAGGGGUAGUAGCGGUGGGAGGUUGACUUUUAGCACGCAAUUGUUGACUUUGCUUUUGGAGUGGUCAAAAAGGAACUUUUUUGUGGGACGCUUCGCUCGGAAUCUGGUCUCUCGCGCGGAUAACCACAAAUUUCCAAUUUGUUUAUGGGACAGCAGGUCCAUUAUUAAUUUCCAACCGAGUUUCUCGUGAAAUUUAAUGCUUAGGUUCUUGUUGUUUUUCUAUUUAUAUAUUUUUGUUGAUUCAUGGAAUCUUUAGGACAGUAACUAUGAUUUGUAACAAAAAUGGAGAAUGUGGUUGGAGAGAUAAAUUUUAUGACUC